This 130-nucleotide small nucleolar RNA is filed under the name Castor canadensis (American beaver). Its description in RNAcentral is "Small nucleolar RNA SNORA17 (ENSCCNG00000013544.1)". It matches the Rfam family "Small nucleolar RNA SNORA17". Rfam says of the family: snoRNA ACA 17 belongs to the H/ACA family of snoRNAs and is predicted to guide pseudouridylation of the 28S rRNA at positions U4659 and U4598. It shares the same host gene together with ACA43. NB This family has a high threshold value to exclude a large number of closely related sequences that do not appear to have conserved H and ACA boxes, and may be pseudogenes. The record is from Rfam by way of RNAcentral. Lineage: Eukaryota; Metazoa; Chordata; Mammalia; Rodentia; Castoridae.
ACUACACCAAGAGGCCUUGCAGGCGUGGCUGCUGUGUCACAAUUGUGUCAGUCAGUGGCAGAGAGAAGAGAGCCUGUGUCUGUGCUGUGAUUUCACCCAUGAACAUUUGAAUGAUUAGGAGCCUGAUACU